UACGUAGGUGGCAAGCGUUUUCCGGAAUUACUGGGCGUAAAGCGCGCGCAGGCGGCCUCUUAAGGCGGAUGUGAAAGCCCCCGGCUUAACCGGGGUGGGCCAUUGGAAACUGGGAGGCUUGAGUAUAGGAGAGAAGAGUGGAAUUCCACGUGUAGCGGUGAAAUGCGUAGAGAUGUGGAGGAACACCAGUGGCUAAGGCGACUCCUUGGCCUAUAACUGACGCUGAGGCGCGAAAGCGUGGGGAGCAAACAGG
Molecule: unclassified non-coding RNA, 253 nt
Filed under: uncultured Caryophanales bacterium
Lineage: Bacteria; Bacillati; Bacillota; Bacilli; Caryophanales
Description: uncultured Bacillales bacterium contains 16S-23S intergenic spacer region
Rfam family: Bacterial small subunit ribosomal RNA
Source: RNAcentral